GUGGGGAAUCUUGCGCAAUGGGCGAAAGCCUGACGCAGCCAUGCCGCGUGGAUGAUGAAGGUCUUAGGAUUGUAAAAUCCUUUCACCGGUGAAGAUAAUGACUGUAGCCGGAGAAGAAGCCCCGGCUAACUUCGUGCCAGCAGCCGCGGUAAUACGAAGGGGGCUAGCGUUGCCCGGAAUUACUGGGCGUAAAGGGAGCGUAGGCGGACAUUUAAGUCAGGGGUGAAAUCCCGAGGCUCAACCUCGGAACUGCCUUUGAUACUGGGUGUCUUGGGUGUGAGAGAGGUGAGUGGAACUCCGAGUGUAGAGGUGAAAUGCGUAGAUAUUCGGAAGAACACCAGUGGCGAAGGCGACUCACUGGCUCAUUACUGACGCUGAGGCUCGAAAGCGUGGGGAGCAAACAGGAUUAGAAACCCCAGUAGUCC
This 425-nucleotide ribosomal RNA is filed under the name uncultured bacterium. RNAcentral's name for it is "partial 16S ribosomal RNA". It matches the Rfam family "Bacterial small subunit ribosomal RNA", at positions 354 to 796 of the family's 1533-position model. The record is from RNAcentral.